This 504-nucleotide long non-coding RNA is filed under the name Citrus sinensis (sweet orange). RNAcentral describes it as "long non-coding RNA (CSIN_LNC002829)". Lineage: Eukaryota; Viridiplantae; Streptophyta; Magnoliopsida; Sapindales; Rutaceae. The record is from RNAcentral.
CUAGUGUCGUAGAAGUUUAUUAGGACAUAUAAAUAUUCGAUAUGUUCUUGUGAUUGUGAGCAUAGAUAACAUUUGGGGAUCUACAGAUGAAAAGGUAUCAUUUUCUUAAUAACUUGCAGCAACAAGCUUGAUAACCUAUGCAUUUGCCAUUAUAGCCUUUCCCAUAUUCUCUAAAGCACGAGUCAUCACAUAAGAACUUCGAGCACUUGGAAAGCUGCAGAAUUGGUUGGUCGCAAGUUUCUGCCUCAACAAACAUUGUACCUGUACAAAAUUGAACGACCAAAAUUUAGCUGAAGAAGUAUCAAAUAAAUCUUCAUUAAGGCUUUUUGUCAAAUAGUAUAAAUAUGACAUAUUAUAAAUCAACCGAGACUUAAAGAUAAUUUUUUUUUUCUUUUAAUAAGUGCUUACCCAUUGAAGCCAUCAUGAGGAAGAUAGCAAAGAAGCCAAAGGCGAUUCUCAUUUCCUUAACUUUGUGAAUUAGCAAAUGAAUUUGCAAUGUUUGCU